Molecule: ribosomal RNA, 465 nt
Filed under: uncultured Yokenella sp.
Lineage: Bacteria; Pseudomonadati; Pseudomonadota; Gammaproteobacteria; Enterobacterales; Enterobacteriaceae
Description: bacterial SSU rRNA
Rfam family: Bacterial small subunit ribosomal RNA
Source: RNAcentral
CCUACGGGGGGCAGCAGUGGGGAAUAUUGCACAAUGGGCGCAAGCCUGAUGCAGCCAUGCCGCGUGUAUGAAGAAGGCCUUCGGGCUGUCAAGUACUUUCAGCGAGGAGGAAGGCGGUGAGGUUAAUAACCCCAUCGAUUGACGUUACUCGCAGAAGAAGCACCGGCUAACUCCGUGCCAGCAGCCGCGGUAAUCCGGCCCGCCCAACCGUCUAUCGGAAGUACUGGGCGUAAAGCGCACGCAGGCGGUCGGGCGGGUCGGAUGUGAGUGCCCCGGGCUCAACCUGGGAACUGCAGUCGAUACUGGCAUGCGAGAGUCGUGUAGAGGGGGGUAGAAUUCCAGGUGUAGCGGUGACAUGCGUAGAGAGCUGGAGGAGUACCGGUGGCGAGGUCGGCCCCCUGGACAAAGACUGACGCUCAGGUGCGAAAGCGUGGGGAGCAAACAGGAUUAGAUACCCGUGUAGUC